AGUAAUAAGAAGUAAGUGAAGGAAGAGAGAAAGGAGAAGUCAGGAGAGAGGAAAAUGAAAAUCUGAAAGCAUUACUGUAGAGGUCACAAGAAGAAGAGGAAGAAGGAAGGAAGGAACGAUGUGUGUGUGUGUCAAGCUUUAGUUUUCGCUUUAAAGAACCCUACAUUUUUUUCUAAGGCCAGCUUGUAAUAUCAGGUGAGACAGAGCGUGAACGUCCAUAGUUUGUAAUCCAUAAGUGAGAAACAUUUCACAAGACUCCAGGCAACAAAAAUUUUCCCAUUGUCGUAAUCUGCGUUUUUGAAUAGUAAUUUGUUAGCUAGCUGAUUCAACAUGGGGAAUGUCAACAAGACCAUGACAGAGGUGACUCGGAAGAAUCAGGAAUUCAUGUUGGAGACUCAGAGGGUUCAGCUGGAGAGACAGAUACACAUGCAGAACGAAAUGCGUGAGAAAAUGAUGUCGAUGCAGAUUGCUCGGUCCAGAGAGCUGCUAUACUGGUUUGGCUCAUUUUACAUUGUUGCGGCAAUAGGAAUGAUGACUGGGUUUCGACGGACUCGUAAACCUGGCACACUUGUACCCUUGCUUCCUCUCUCUUUUAUUCUGGCGUACCAAGCUGAUUUAGCAUAUGGAUCGAAGCUCAACCGGAUCAAAAUGGAGGCUGAGAACAUCCUUAUGUUUGAGCGUGACCUGGUAUCCAUGCCUAUGGGGGUCCCUACCCCAUCCACCAUCGAUGAGGCUCGGGAACGUCAGGAGGAAAAUAAGCGACUUAACAAGGCUCUUCAUCAGCAUCGUAGUGGGUAUUACUAGCCCACUCCUCCCACACCGCUACUCUCCUUACUUUCCUUUGUACAUUCGUCAGUUCCAAGAUACUUGGAAAGAUUAGAAAUGGGAGACUUUCAGUAAAGAGAUUCGGGCUGUAGACGACUGCUUGGUUGCUUGUGAACGUGUAGUACGUAAGACUUCUUUUUGUUUCCUUAUUUAAACUGUUGUGUUUCAGAAAUGAUUUUAUUGAUUAUUGUUUGUAUGUUUUAAUUUCUUUUCAUAGAUAUUCAUUUAAAAGAAAUUAUGCACUACUUAUUUAGAAUAAUUUGUCAUCAUAGAUUCUUAUUUAAAUCUAUCUAUCAGAAUAAAUGAAGCUUAACUGCCUUUGCUUAGGCUUCAGUAUAGUCUUAUUUUCAUUUUUAUGUGAUGUAUGUAGUUUGGCACAGAAUUUCAUUUUUUAGCUAUUCUCUUUUACAGUGUAUUUUCUUUUUUUACAUCUCAAGUUAUUUUUUGUGGUUGAUGUGAUAGGCAGCUAAUAGGUCUUACUGGAAUCUUGUAUCAGUGUCCUAACUCAUUGAUAUUUACAAGUAAUUGCAUGAUAGCUCCAGUCCACACACAUGCAUAUGAAUGCACUCCAUUAUCUUCAUCACUUGACUUAUAACUCAGUAAAAUUUUCCAUCAUGUUCAAUGUCCAACCCUUCUUAGGAUUUAGAAAGGCACUAAAAUCUUGUGGCUGUCCACAGCUAUAAAAUUUCCAGGAACAAAGUAGUUGAUCUCAUUAGUUACAACAAACCAUGUCACAAAAAGAAAAGUACAAUAUUUAGUGAAAGUCCUCAUGACUAAAGUUUAUUAUAAUAUAGUAAUAUUGUUGGACUGGCUCUUGAGAAAUCAUACUUGAAGUAUCAUGAAGGGUUAUUAGAACAGGAUUGCUUUGGAAGCUGUAAUAUAUUAAUGAUUACUGAUAGUUUGGAAAAAGACACAAGAAAAGAAAGAAGAAAACGCACACUUGUAAACAGUGUAUUUCAGGCAGUUACAAUGUCCUUUUAUCAUGGUUAAGGGAUAACAGGAACCAGUGAAGUUGUUUGGAAUUACAUUUGCUUACUAGUGAAUGUAUUCUUCUGUCACUAGUCAUCAUGCCACACUCACUCCAGAAACAGGAACUGCAGGAAGGACCAAAAGGAUGAUGACCAAUGAAUUCAAUGUUUCAGUUACAAGAAGCUAAGUUUAUUGAACAUAAGAUGCUAUUUGUGUGUUGGACGGUCUUGUCAGUCAGUUAUCCUGUUCAUGAGUGCAUUGGGAAAUGAGCAAUGAAAUUUGGAGUGAUUCUGAAAUACAGAUCUUGUGUUGUAUGUUUUGCUACAUGGAUAAUAUGUAAAACAUUGGGUGAGAUGGAAUAUUUUUUCUUUGGGAAUACUGAGGGAUGAGAGUAGGUGAAAAACUUCAGGAUAAAGUUACUUUACUAUCACUAAAGGCUCUCCUUGCUUAUGAUAAACUGUACUAUUUUUUUUCCAUUUAAGAAGUGUGAUAAUUUGUGGCGAUAAAACUUUGGCAGCUAUUUAAGUUAGUUUUAAACAAGCAGAUGUAUGGAAAAAAUUAUGGUGAGAUAGAUUGCACAGUGUCAGUGUGAGAGAUGCCCUAACAAAUACAGUGCUGAGGAGACUGGCUUUAAAUAUUUGUAGCAGAUGAGACAAAGAAUGAUAAGGAGAGGCAAGUAAAAACCAGAAGUAGAGGAUAAGCUACUGGCAGAUGGACCAGGCAUGGAAUGAGAGUCUGGAAGGAAAGAUUCAAAGACAAUAUUUACCUAAUUUUCAGAAAGUUUUAUUACUCAAUCAAAAACUCAUUUACAAGCUGACGUAGUUAACUUUCAAACUUGGUAAGCUGUCAGUAAAUAAGGCUGGUCUACUUCAGUGUGGAAUCUACUUUUUGAAAUUAUGAUGGGUACACAUAGUGAUGAUUUUAAAGGGCUGAUGCAUCAGCUUCAUGUCACAAGUUCUUCCUUUUUUAAAUGGUGUCAAGAGAUUUUGUUUCCCUCAUUAAGUAUGUUUAGUAUUACUGCAGUCAGUGGCAUGGGUUUAUUCUUGAACACAUGACAUUAAUAUGUAAAUUCAUGAUCUGCCUUCAUGCCCACAGGUUGCAUCAUUAGUGCAAUAUAUACUAAUAACAUUAGCAGAUUUCAGUAAUUAACAUGGUUGACUCAUGACUGAGAGGUCCUGGGUUUCAAUCCUUUGCUGGGUGAAGACAAUUUGGGCAUACCUCCUUUCACACUAUUGACUCUGUGCACCAAGGAGAGAAUAGGUAUGGGUUGUAAGUCUAGGAGUUGUAUUUCACACUAUUGACUCUGUGCACCAAGGAGAGAAUAGGUAUGGGUUGUAAGUCUAGGAGUUGUAAUGUUGGAGUUUGGCAAAUCCUAUUAGACAUCCUAAGCCAGCAUACCGUGGUUUAUGGUUCAACACCAUUAACCAUUGCAGGGAAGCUUUGUCUUGCAGUGGAAUCAUACAAGCUGAUGUUCAUUAUUGUUAUCAUGACAAUGAUGACUUUUAACAGUGGACACAGAUGAGUAUGUUUGGAAGAACUGUUGACUACUGAUGUCUACAAUAUUGAGGGGAGUGAUUUAUAGUUCAGUGUCAAAAAACAAACAAGGUAUUAACUAGCAGGCAAUGUAUUUACAUUCUGGUAAAGUGAAUAGAAAAAAAUCCUGGAGGGUACAGUAUAUGAGUGAGUAGAGUUACUAAACCUUGGCAGUGAUGUGCUUGGAGUGCCUAUUUGGAAACUAGUUCCAGCAUAUGGUUGCUGGAAGGCAUCCAAUCGUAAAUCCAGGCUCCAAUUGAUCCAUAUCAGCUACAUCAGAUGUGGAACAAGUACUGGCAUAGAAGAAAAGGACCAACAAUGAGAGGAAAAUCAUGUGGACUUUAUCUAUUUGUUGGUGUGUGGGAUAUGCCAGCCAUUCACUCAUGAUUUAACCUCAACUUAAUUAAUUUAACAUUUUCAUAUAUGUAUAUAUAAGACAUUAUAUAAUUUUUAUGUAUAUAUAUUUUUUAAAGAAUAUACAUUUUUACCCAAUUCCCACCAUACAGUUUUUUGGUUAUGCAUCAUCAAAUUGAACCUAACUUCAUUUGCUGAAGUAUCAAGAUCAUUUUCCUUUUCUCCCGAGGUGGCCUUUUAUAGAUAGGCUCCUUUCACCUGCAUGUUUGUAGACACUUAUAAUGAAAAGGCUGUCUUAACCUUCACCACCAGUUUUCUUCCUUCCCCUUCUUUUCUCAUUCUCUCCAUUUUCCACAUUCAUUUGAAUCAACCUUUUGCAAGCAUUUAUUCUCAAUGAAGUAGUAUUCCUGCACAGAACUGUACAUACCUACUCAGGCUUAUUCUUUCUAUCUUCUCUAUGGAUAAAUCAGUUCAUUUUCUCUUGCAAAGAUACAUAAUGGAGUAUGGGGUCAGCUGGUUAAAGGAAGCAUAUAUUCAUAAUUAAGUGUUACAAAAUUUUGAAGGUUGCUUUGUUGACUAACACACAAGGAGUGAAUGAUUUUACACUUAAUGUGACUUGAAGCAGCUUGAUAGUAUUUGCUCCACAAUAAAAUGAAAUAGUAAUAUUGGUAGCUGUGUUACACUUGUUUGUGUGCUGAGUUAUGGUAAUAAAUCCAUUAAGAAUC
Molecule: RNA transcript, 4406 nt
Organism: Scylla paramamosain (green mud crab)
Lineage: Eukaryota; Metazoa; Arthropoda; Malacostraca; Decapoda; Portunidae
Gene name: plasminogen receptor (KT)-like
Exons: 7
Source: RefSeq, a predicted model, not a curated record